AAAGCCCACGAGACCUCAUCGGGCCUCCUGUGAGGCCUACACCCGUGUAGGGCCAACGUGGCAGCCACAGCUGGGUGAAGAUGCGUUCCUGAGCAUGCGAGGCAGGGGGAGCGCUGCAGCCCGAGACGCUGUAAUUAGGCCUCGGUAAUAACAGGCUCCGUAUCUCCUGCGCCCUGUCAGGGAGAAGAAUCCAUCUUAUCGCUCCUUCAGUGCUCACUGAGAUGCCACGCCCAGGCUCCGGCAGUUGCUCACCUCUGCCCCACUUUGUUUUUCUUCCCAGUGUAUCACUUCCUAACUCACCACAGAUCUCAUUCUUUUCUCCCUGUUCUCCACACCAGCUGUCAGUUUUGGUCUGGCUGGUCACGGAUGCACCUCCAACGGCUGAGAUGGCACCUGUCACACACCAGGCUUGACUCCAGUCCCCGAAGUCCUGCUUGUCAGUGUUGCUCCACACAGAUUCCUUCCUCCAGGAAGCCCUCUUGUGGCUACGCUGGCCUGCGUCUGCAUGUCAGGGACUCGCUUCUGCUCCACUCGGCCUAUCUAGGGACCCCUCGGGGCUUGGGCCCUGUCUUCCAGGUCUCUCGGGACUGGCCAUGCGCCGGGUCCCAGCAGAAAAGGAAGGGCGUGAACGAUCCUGUGGAAGCCAUGGCUGCUCCCAAGUGAAGCCCCCGCUGGUUCCCCGGCUGGAUGGAGAGCCCCGCAAGGCAGGCUUCUCUCCACCUUCGCCGUUUCCCAAAGGCAGAGGAUCUUUUGGGGUCUGCCACAGUUACAGGACGCAUGCUGAAACAGGGCCCUGUGUAACAGCCUCGGGGCGGUGAGGACUCCACGGACGCCCACCGCUCUCCUGGGGCUGGGCCAGUUAUGGCUGGAGUGGGUUUUCCCAUAAAGCACGGCGGUGCUUGUGCCGAGGCCUUCGAAUCCUUCGCUCGCCCUCUGCGUGGUGCGAUCCCCUCAGGGUCCUCCUGACCCUCACUUCCGGCCCUGGAGCUGGCCGCCGGACUCUUGUCAUUUACCUGGACUCAGGUGUUGUGGUACAGAGGCGGAAAGCGACCAAGGUGCAGCCCACCUCCCGGGUGCCUGCCAGAUGUGCCGCAGACGUCGAUUUCCUGCCAUCUUUCCAUUUUCAAGCUCUGUGCCAGUUUUUGCUUCUAUUUAUAAAACUUAUUCGUAUCUAA
Fukomys damarensis (Damara mole-rat) is the source of this 1175-nucleotide long non-coding RNA. RefSeq lists it as uncharacterized. NCBI's taxonomy places the organism in Eukaryota, Metazoa, Chordata, Mammalia, Rodentia, Bathyergidae. The transcript has 3 exons. The record is from RefSeq and is a predicted model, not a curated record.